GACGAACGCUGGCGGCGUGCUUAACACAUGCAAGUCGAGCGGUAAGGCCCUUUCGGGGGUACACGAGCGGCGAACGGGUGAGUAACACGUGGGUGACCUGCCCUCAGCUCUGGGAUAAGCCUGGGAAACUGGGUCUAAUACUGGAUAUGACUCCACGGUGCAUGUCGUGGGGUGGAAAGCCUUGUGCGGCUGAGGAUGGGCCCGCGGCCUAUCAGCUUGUUGGUGGGGNGAUGGCCUACCAAGGCGACGACGGGUAGCCGGCCUGAGAGGGCGACCGGCCACACUGGGACUGAGACACGGCCCAGACUCCUACGGGAGGCAGCAGUGGGGAAUCUUGCGCAAUGGGCGAAAGCCUGACGCAGCGACGCCGCGUGAGGGAUGACGGCCUC
RNAcentral lists this ribosomal RNA (389 nucleotides) under uncultured bacterium. RNAcentral describes it as "bacterial SSU rRNA". It matches the Rfam family "Bacterial small subunit ribosomal RNA", at positions 28 to 418 of the family's 1533-position model. The record is from RNAcentral.